This 449-nucleotide ribosomal RNA is filed under the name Anablepsoides hartii. Its description in RNAcentral is "partial small subunit ribosomal RNA". It matches the Rfam family "Bacterial small subunit ribosomal RNA", at positions 7 to 794 of the family's 1533-position model. Lineage: Eukaryota; Metazoa; Chordata; Actinopteri; Cyprinodontiformes; Rivulidae. The record is from RNAcentral.
CAAAAGUUUGGUCCUAACUUUACUAUUAACUAUAGCUAAAUUUAUACAUGCAAGUAUCUGCACCCCCGUGAGAAUGCCCUUAUUUCCUCUCCAUGGAACUAAAGGAGCUGGUAUCAGGCUCAUACUAAUAAUAGCCCACGACACCUUGUUAAGCCACGCCCCCAAGGGAAGUCAGCAGUAAUUAACAUUAAGCAAUAAGUGAAAACUUGACUUAGUUAAAGCUACCACAGAGCCGGUAAAUCCCGUGCCAGCCACCGCGGUCAUACGAGAGGCUCAAGUUAAUAAUGCCCGGCGUAAAGUGUGGUUAAGUUGAUUCAUUCAAUAAAGUUGAACGUUCUCUAGGCUGUUAUACGCUCUUUGAGAAUAUGAAGUCCCUCUACGAAAGUAACUUUAAUUAUGCUGACACCACGAAAGCUGUGAAACAAACUGGGAUUAGAUACCCCACUAUG